GGAAUUAUGAUGAUUGGUAUAGAUUUGAGAAAGAUGAUUGUUCUUAGGGUACUUAUUAUUAAAAUAUUUAUAUAUUCCGCUAUAAAAAAUAGUGCGAAUAUUCCUGCAGCAUAUUCAACAUUAAAACCUGAGACUAGUUCUGAUUCACCUUCAGUUAAGUCAAAUGGAGCUUGGUUUUUUUGUGCUAGUGUGGAUACAAAUUAUAGA
Octodon degus (degu) is the source of this 207-nucleotide long non-coding RNA. RefSeq lists it as uncharacterized. The transcript is spliced from 4 exons. Lineage: Eukaryota; Metazoa; Chordata; Mammalia; Rodentia; Octodontidae. The record is from RefSeq and is a predicted model, not a curated record.